Molecule: ribosomal RNA, 253 nt
Filed under: uncultured bacterium
Lineage: Bacteria
Description: partial 16S ribosomal RNA
Rfam family: Bacterial small subunit ribosomal RNA
Source: RNAcentral
UACGAAGGGGACUAGCGUUGUUCGGAAUUACUGGGCGUAAAGCGCGCGUAGGCGGAUCGCUAAGUCAGGGGUGAAAUCCCAGGGCUCAACCCUGGAACUGCCUUUGAUACUGACGAUCUGGAGAUCGGGAGAGGUUGGUGGAAUUCCGAGUGUAGAGGUGAAAUUCGUAGAUAUUCGGAGGAACACCAGAAGCGGAGGCGGCCAACUGGCCCGAUACUGACGCUGAGGCGCGAAAGCGUGGGGAGCAAACAGG